This 244-nucleotide ribosomal RNA is filed under the name uncultured bacterium. Its description in RNAcentral is "partial 16S ribosomal RNA". It matches the Rfam family "Bacterial small subunit ribosomal RNA", at positions 57 to 305 of the family's 1533-position model. The record is from RNAcentral.
GCAAGUCGAACGAAGAGGCUCUUUCGGGAGUACUUCAGUGGCGGACGGGUGAGUAACGCGUUGACAACAUGCCUUAGAGUGGGGGAUAACAUCUGGAAACGGGUGCUAAUACCGCAUAUGUGUUAGGUUGAGAUACUUAGCAUGGAAGAUUUAUUGCUUUAAGAUUGGUCUGCGUGAGAUUAGCUAGUUGGUAGGGUAAUGGCUUACCAAGGCGACGAUCUCUAGUUGGUCUGAGAGGAUGGCC